Molecule: ribosomal RNA, 460 nt
Filed under: uncultured bacterium
Lineage: Bacteria
Description: partial 16S ribosomal RNA
Rfam family: Bacterial small subunit ribosomal RNA
Source: RNAcentral
CCUACGGGUGGCAGCAGUGAGGAAUAUUGGUCAAUGGGCGCGAGCCUGAACCAGCCAAGUCGCGUGAGGGAGGACGGCCCUACGGGUUGUAAACCUCUUUUGCCGGGGAGCAACGGGCGUCACGUGUGGCGCCACUGAGAGUACCCGGAGAAAAAGCAUCGGCUAACUCCGUGCCAGCAGCCACGGUAAGACGGAGGAUGCGAGCGUUAUCCGGUUUUAUUGGGUUUAAAGGGUGCGUAGGCGGAGCGUUAAGUCAGUGGUCAAAUUGAGGGGCUCAACCCCGUCCCGCCAUUGAUACUGGCGAGCUUGAGUGGAAGAGAGGUAUGCGGAAUGCGAGGUGUAGCGGUGAAAUGCAUAGAUAUGACGCAGAAUCCCGAUUGCGAAGGCAGCAUGCCGGCUUCCGACUGACGCUGAAGCACGAAAGCGUGGGGAUCGAACAGGAUUAGAUACCCGUGUAGUC